GACGAACGCUGGCGGCGUGCUUAACACAUGCAAGUGGAGCGACGAACCUGGCUUCGGCCAGGGGCAGAGCCGCGAACGGGUGAGUAACACGUGGGUAACGUGCCCCAAUGACUGGGACGAACCCGGGGAAACCCGGGCGUAAUACCGGAUGUGCUCCUUCCACAUCAGUGGAUUGAGUAAAGGUAGCUUCGGCUUCCGCAUUGGGAUCGGCCCGCGGCGCAUUAGCUUGUUGGUGGGGUAAUGGCCACCAAGGCAUCGAUGCGUAGCUGGUCUGAGAGGACGAUCAGCCACACUGGGACUGAGACACGGCCCAGACUCCUACGGGAGGCAGCAGUGGGGAAUCUUGCGCAAUGCACGAAAGUGUGACGCAGCAACGCCGC
Molecule: ribosomal RNA, 380 nt
Filed under: uncultured bacterium
Lineage: Bacteria
Description: bacterial SSU rRNA
Rfam family: Bacterial small subunit ribosomal RNA
Source: RNAcentral